RNAcentral lists this ribosomal RNA (1406 nucleotides) under uncultured Bacilli bacterium. RNAcentral's name for it is "bacterial SSU rRNA". It matches the Rfam family "Bacterial small subunit ribosomal RNA", at positions 27 to 1393 of the family's 1533-position model. Lineage: Bacteria; Bacillati; Bacillota; Bacilli. The record is from RNAcentral.
GGACGAACGCUGGCGGCGUGCCUAAUACAUGCAAGUCGAACGAGCUCUCCUAAAUUGAUUUUAUGCUUGCAUAAAUGAUUUUUAGAUUCGGAGCGAGUGGCGAACUGGUGAGUAACACGUGGGUAACCUGCCCCGAAGCGGAGGAUAACAUUUGGAAACAAAUGCUAAUACCGCAUAAUUAGUUGGAACCGCAUGGUUCCAACUUGAAAGAUGGCUCUGCUAUCACUUUGGGAUGGACCCGCGCCGUAUUAGUUAGUUGGUGAGAUAAAAGCCCACCAAGACGAUGAUACGUAGCCGACCUGAGAGGGUAAUCGGCCACAUUGGGACUGAGACACGGCCCAGACUCCUACGGGAGGCAGCAGUAGGGAAUCUUCCACAAUGGACGAAAGUCUGAUGGAGCAACGCCGCGUGAGUGAUGAAGGUUUUCGGAUCGUAAAACUCUGUUGUUAAAGAAGAACAAGUGUUAGAGUAACUGUUAACACUUUGACGGUAUUUAACCAGAAAGCCACGGCUAACUACGUGCCAGCAGCCGCGGUAAUACGUAGGUGGCAAGCGUUGUCCGGAUUUAUUGGGCGUAAAGCGAGCGCAGGCGGUUUUGUAAGCCUGCUGUGAAAGCCCUCAGCUCAACUGAGGAAGUGCAGUGGAAACUACAAAACUUGAGUACAGAAGAGGAAAGUGGAACUCCAUGUGUAGCGGUGAAAUGCGUAGAUAUAUGGAAGAACACCAGUGGCGAAGGCGGCUUUCUGGUCUGUUACUGACGCUGAGGCUCGAAAGCAUGGGUAGCGAACAGGAUUAGAUACCCUGGUAGUCCAUGCCGUAAACGAUGAAUACUAGGUGUUGGAGGGUUCCGCCCUUCAGUGCCGCAGCUAACGCAUUAAGUAUUCCGCCUGGGGAGUACGACCGCAAGGUUGAAACUCAAAGGAAUUGACGGGGGCCCGCACAAGUGGUGGAGCAUGUGGUUUAAUUCGAUGCUACGCGAAGAACCUUACCAGCUCUUGACAUCUUCUGCCAACCCAAGAGAUUGGGCGUUCCCUUCGGGGACAGAAUGACAGGUGGUGCAUGGUUGUCGUCAGCUCGUGUCGUGAGAUGUUGGGUUAAGUCCCGCAACGAGCGCAACCCUUAUUAUUAGUUGCCAGCAUUUAGUUGGGCACUCUAGUGAGACUGCCGGUGAUAAACCGGAGGAAGGUGGGGACGACGUCAAAUCAUCAUGCCCCUUAUGAGCUGGGCUACACACGUGCUACAAUGGAUGGUACAACGAGUCGCGAAACCGCGAGGUCAAGCUAAUCUCUUAAAGCCAUUCUCAGUUCGGAUUGCAGGCUGCAACUCGCCUGCAUGAAGUUGGAAUCACUAGUAAUCGUGGAUCAGCAUGCCACGGUGAAUACGUUCCCGGGCCUUGUACACACCGC